GUUUAUAUCUUUUCAAACUGACAGUAACUCCCUUUCCAAAUAACUUAAACUUGUCAUCCACUUCUUUAGGUGUGGUGCCUAGGGUCUACCAUGGGUCAGAUCGGACUCUUGGUCUGAAUCCAAAACCCCAGUUCGAGGAGAGAAGGGUCAUCUAUGAAGACUUGAAAAACAUCUCAAGAUACGGUCUGCCAAGAGACAAUAUAUAGGUCUGAUUUAAAGUUAUCAAAUAGAUUGCCUUGGUGAGGAUCCAAAAAUCCAGAAAUUCAUAACCAUGAUCAUAAUUUCUAUCAGGUCAAAACAUCUGUUCCUUCGGAGACAUCCGAUUGCGACAAAAAAAAAAAAAGUCAAAACAUCUUGAAAUUUUAAAAAUCUUGAAGUCCGUUGGAACAAAUGGUUCUAGCUAAAGUCUGUCAUUUCUCUGCAAAGUAGUCCAAAUGAGUCAUCAUCAGAGUCAAUCAAAAUAAAAAGAAAGAAAAAUUACCUACAUCCAUAAAAACCAAGUUCAAAUGGAAACCUAUCCCUACAAGGUACAACCCAAAGAUGAGAAGAAACAAGGGGAAAAAAUAGAAAACAAAUAAUAUUCCUGACAGUCUCCAAGAACGCAGGAGAUAAUGAAUCCAAAAGACUGGAGAAAACGCAAAAAAAAAAGGAAAAAGCUGGAGACGUAAAGUGGAAAAAAUAGAAAAUGAGGAAGACAAAGGAGAACGAGCGACAUACACGCGAAGUAUUUUUCCCUUGAAGUGGUGAAUGGUUCCUCUUACCGGUACCCGGUGCCGGGACAGAGUACACGACUCUCGAUCGGAGCGGGGGAGGAGCCGAUCCUCGGAGCCGCCAGAAUCCGAUCCCUUCUCCUCCUCCUCUGAGACGACCAUAGACGAAGAUAUUACCAUUAAAUUAAAUUAAAUUAAAGAAAAACAAGAAAUCGUUGACGUGCACCAGAAGAAGAACCUUUUUCUUGACUGACCUGGAAUUCCGGAAAAGGGAGAUGGAGGUCUCCGAGGAACGAGGAGGAGGGGGUGCGAGAGAGGGGAGAAGGAGGUUGGAGGAGGAGGAGGAGGAGGAGAGAGAUCUCCUUGGGAAUUAUUUUGGAGGGCUGCAACGGCGAUCCCUUUUAUCUCGUUUGAAAUGCCGCUAUACAAAAGAGGUCGGGGGACGCCUAAUGAAACUGGCGACUGCUCCUCUUGUUGCAUCGAUGGUUGAAUCGAGACGCGACGGUGGAACGGAAAGGGUCGGAGAAUUGAAUGCUCCAAGGAUUCGAAAGGGAUUCGACUUUCGAGGCGUCCGCUGACGCGUUUUCUUCCUUUGGCUGCCGGUACCGGUACCAGGGAUCUAAAAUCCGGUCCAAAGUGUUGGGUUAGGAUUACCGGUAGGUGAUCGCAACCCAAGGUCCCACAAAUCGGGCUUGCUUAAAUUUUCUUUUUUUUAUUUUUGGUUUCGGAUCGUUGAUCCCGACGAAACAAACGGCCCGGUCCACCUCUUGCCCGUCCUCUGAAGACAGUUAUAGUUGCGAAUUGGGGGGCUCUUAUGUGACCUACCACUCCAAAAAUAUUCUCUAAGCUAAAGAAAAAAAAUUGCCUAAAAAACUCCAAAACUUAUUAUUUUCUAGUUUAUUGAGUGUAUUCGUUUUCAUAAUUAUGGAGCGUCCGUUUUAGAAAAAAUUAUAAUUACUAUAUAUACUGUUUUUUAUUUUUUUAUAGAAAAUAAUGCUUUAUGUGUUCCCAAAUCAAACCCAAAAAAAAGAAAAAAUAAACUUUUAUUUUAUUAUAUUAUUUUAGUAUUUAUUUUAAAAAAUAUAAAUUAAUUUUUUUACUAAUGAAGUACAAUAUUUUUUUAAAAUAUACUUUUUAUCCGUAUGUAUUAAAUAAUCAGACAAUAUAUACCAAAUAUAAUUUUUUUAAUAAUUAGAAAUAUAGCAAAAGAAAAAUUCUGUUUUUUUUUUAAUUUUGGUGCCUUUUUAUAUGAUUUUGUUUUCUCAAAUCUCAUCUCGAAUUUUGAUAAUUUUGAGGGUGAUAUUUCGAAAUAUGUGCAUUUAAUUCUACCUAGACGAGAGAAAAUUGUGCUUAGAUAUUUCCAAAUUUAACCGUUUUCAAUGAAAAAAGACAAACAUAAAAGUAAGGUUCAUUUACCUCUUUGAUUUCGUCCCUUGAAAUUGUUUUUUUCCUCUUUUAGCAGUACGAUCCGAUGGAUGGCGUUGAAAUACUCGGAACCGGGUUUGGGCAACGUACGAGCAUAGACAUAGACCAGACGAAAUAUUUGAAGGAACUGGACCCCAAUUUGAGGCGCCGCCUUCCCCAGGAGGCAACUUCCCAACGAGCGUCGUCACGACAACGGUAUCAUUGAGUCGUUUCCUUCAAUGUUUGGGUAAUCCUCCCCCUUCUUUAUUCAAAGCUUCAUCAUCAUUUACGACUGGACCGUGGCAAGGACAGAGAUGCAUGACAUAUUUUAGUCACUUUGGUUGCUAGCUGACAACUAAUAGUAUCUUGGAAGCAAGGCUAGCUAGUUCUUGUGGAUGAGGAUUUAGAACAUUGCAUCUUAAUGGAUGGGCAUGCUCCAAUGGACGAAGAUUGCUUUAAAAAAAUGGCAAUUAUAAGUAGCCAUUUUAGACCGACAUAAAAGAGUAUGCAUUUUAUAAUAAGAGGGGACCUCAUCUCAAUUAAUGACUAUGAAUUCAAAGUAGACAUAUAUGUGCUUUUUUUAUUAAGCUAAUGCCAUUUCAAGGUUUUGUGGUAGAGAAAAAGUAUUCUACCAACUCCAUUAUUUAUUCUUGGGAUCUUGGCUACAGCAAGGCACAACCAAACCAUUCAUGUGCCUGACCCACUGCUACCUUACCAUUUUUUUUCAUGCAGCUUUCGGAAUAUCUGCGCGAACCACUGGAAGUCCAGUAUUACUGUAUUAGGGAACAAUUGCUCAAAAGGUGAAGCCAUUUUCAGGCUACUAUCAAAGAUUCUUUAGCAUUCUUCACAAAAAGAAAAAUAGUUUUGGGAGAUUAGAGGGGGAUAUAAGAUUGAUGACAAUUGCAAGAGGAAUCCAUUUCCUGCUAUGACAAUUGCAAGAGGAUAGGUGUAACUUGCGAGAGUUUGUUUACUUGUAAGAAAUUCGUAGUUUAAUAGGUUGAUGUUGAAAAUUGGUAAAAUUUAGCUUGUAAUUAUACAUGCUAUUGAAAGGUGGUGCUGGUACUUAUGAGAUGCCUAAUUUAAGAAUGAAAAGUAUUGAUGGACACAGUAAUUUCAUCAACCAGGAGAAUGUUAGUCAGCUGCUAUGGUGCAAGAGAUCAAUUCAAGAGGAAAAAAAAAAUGUGACGCACAUCAUGAUUUCACCUGCUGGUGAGAUGCUACUUGACAAAUAGGGUACACAACAAAUCAAGGGUGAGGAAUAAUUGGAUAGAAGACUGUGAUCUCAUAAUUGAUUGUGCAUUACAUAGGAUAUGCAAUGCCCAUGACUAGUAGUUCAACGCAAAAGCAUAUCUGAUGAACAAUUAUAUGGUCCCCUUGUUUAUUGAAAUGUCAAUUGGCAUAUGUGGUAGAUGCGGCUGAUGUAUGUGGACAAAGUGUUCAAUUAUGGUUGAAAUUCAAGAUGGAGUACAUGGCAGACAACUAUUAUUUCAUUACUGGAUGAAGUGUUAAAGGAGGAGACUUUUUUUGUUUGAUGUAAAGGGAGGCAGAAGGAGCCACCCGCUUUUAUUGAAGAUUAAUCGUAUUUACAACAGAGAUGAGUUACAUUAUCAAGAGAGUAAAGGAACAAAUGCGAGAAAAAGAAGCUAAAUGGCUCCGAACGAAGUAUUUGAUAAUCAGCACAGGGGAUGUUGAUGCUCAUAAGAAGAAGCAGUGGAGGAAAAAAACCUCAUACAGACCAAUAAGCAGGAGCAUUCAUUGCUUGGAAGUUUCAAGCAAUUUCACAAAGAUUUCUAGGCCAGCACUUUCCUGCUAUACCAGCCUUUUUUGAACAUGAAGAGCUUUGUUUUGCUGAUCUCAAAAGACUAAGCUGUUGUACCCCUUCCCACAACCGAAUGAGACUUUAAAAAAAAGCACUAAUUUCACAAAAGAGUCUGAUUUGAGAGAGUUUUUGAAAAACAAAACAAUCAAUUUUCCACAACCAAUUUCAUACCACGUCUGGUACCUUUUCUGAAGCAUAAUAUAAUUUGCCGGAAGGCAUAAGAGGAUGAACAAGAGCAGUAGCUGAAGGAAACAAAGUUGCAAUUCUAAACAAAGUUCCUUUCUUUUGGCUUAAUUUUAUUCCUAAAUGUUUCAUUUCUCGAUAUAAUUUCAGAUUUACUUAUAACAAAGAAUUCAUAGGAUCAUAAGCGAAAUUUUGAGUCUUUUUUUGUGCUAUUAUAUGUGUGUGAGCAUAGAGAAGAGUUAAAACUUCCCAACAAGUUUGUGUGGUAUUAUUGUCCCAAAUAAUAUGCACUAUUUUAUGAUUUUUCAUCUGCUUUUAUAGUUCUAAUUUUGCAUUAGAUCAUUAGAAUUGUUUUAUACAAGAUUACUGUUUUAUUUUGUCUGGCAAUGUGUGAAAUUUUUCUUGUGCUUUCAAUAUCUGUAUCUUGUACACCUUUUACUUUCAUUUAUACAUGUUCCCUCCAUGAAGCGAAACUACGCUUUAAGUUUUGAGAGGUUACCGUGAAUCCCCAGUUUUAAGCUCACUAUUAACCAAGAAACUGCCAAGAUAUGGACACAAAAUUUGAUAAAUUUCAUGCAUUCCUUAACAUUUUUUUUUUCUUUUUUAACUUUAUGGAAGAGGAAUAUAAUAAAUUAAAAACAGCUAAAACAAACAGGGAUUUCACAUAGUUACGUUGGAAGACAUUGAUAAUCAAGAAGACAUGCAUUCUCGCGCAUCUUCUCAGGCAGGUAACUCAGGGUAAUACACACGAGAUUGUGAAUCUGUGAUUAUGGACAUAUUAAUUUACUACGAAAAGCCAAUCUGACAACAGGUAAAUUUAAGCAUGUUUCUGACCUCACCAAGUAAACAACAUAUGCGAAAAUAACCCUGCAGAAGGCAUGUAUGAAUUCACUGAUAGGUUACAACAAAUNNNNNNNNNNNNNNNNNNNNNNNNNNNNNNNNNNNNNNNNNNNNNNNNNNNNNNNNNNNNNNNNNNNNNNNNNNNNNNNNNNNNNNNNNNNNNNNNNNNNNNNNNNNNNNNNNNNNNNNNNNNNNNNNNNNNNNNNNNNNNNNNNNNNNNNNNNNNNNNNNNNNNNNNNNNNNNNNNNNNNNNNNNNNNNNNNNNNNNNNNNCGAAUAUUAUCAUAUCAGAAAUUUUGUACCCAGAAAAUGCCAAAAGUCACUCUUUUGCAAACAUUCGUUCGAUGUUCUUGUCGUGAACAAAUUCCAUCAAAUCCAUCCACAUGUUGAUGCAGGAUAAUUUGUUUGACCAGUUGGGUUUUUCCUAUGUGCUAUUGAGAUGUAUUAAGAGAAGUUUAGAUAUUUGGUGAGGGAAAAGAAAAGCAGAGUAGGAUACCGUCAGCUUCUUUGAAGCAAACAUACUAUAUCAAGACAUGCAGCAGAGGCCUGAAAAGCCCACUAACUAAAAUUGGCUUACACAAGAUAAAAAUCUAGGUGUGGGGAGAGACCUGGCACCAAUCUAUGUUCUUUCCUGGAGUGAAGCAGAAUGAACGGAUCAUCUGCCCUUCGCUUGCUCCUGCAGCUCCUAGAUUUGAAAUACUGUCCUAUAAUCCAAAACAUGCAAUUCACCAAGCGGGAUUCUCAAUCAACGCACUCUCUCUUGGAAGGAACAUCUAAGAUCGGUAAGGUAAUACUUAAAUUGUCCGCUUAGGCUUUCUAGCGUACACGAGGGAAGAUUAAAACGCUUAGAUCUUUAGGGAAUAGAAAAUAAACUGAAAGAUUGGAAAUAAUAAGGAGCACAAAUACAGGAGAAAGAUUAGGGGAUUAUCCUAGAUGGUUAGGUUGGUUUUGGAAUCUGGAGAGAUGACUACAAAAGAACAUAGAUAACACAGUACAAGAGGGUCCUAUGAAAGCAUAGCACACAGUUUGUUCUCCUUCAGUUCUCCUUCAUUCUCCAAAGGUGUCAUACUCUCCCCAUAUUGUCCGGUUAAGAUUUGGCUAUGGACAAGGUCUUCCAAGCAGUGCAAGAUAAAAUAGAUAUCCAUAAAAUACCAAAAAUAAUAUGAGGUACAUUCUUCGUGUCCAGAUAUCCAAUUUUAGUGUUAAUUAUGCAUAAAAACUAUGUCAGCAACUUUCUAUAGUUGAAAGAGAUGCAGAUAGAUCAACCUUUACAAGUUCGACCAGCCUCUAGUUUUCCAAUGGCAAUCCCUUGGCCGACUGCUGCUUUGUACAAACCAUUUGGGAGGCAGUCCACGAACAGACUAGGAAACUCAAAGAAGAGAAGGAUACUCUGGUCGGCAAUCAUAUAUCUUCCAUACUUUCCAGGAAAUUUUUUGCCAUUUUGUCUUCCUCUGGUAAGGUCCUAUGGAUGCCUCACUUCAUUAUAUUCCUUAAUAUGGAAGAAUUGGAAAGAAAAGAUGACAUUAAAUUGGUCUGAAACUGGGUUACCUUUUUCCCUUUUUACUUUUCCAGGCCUACGAUGUGAACAUGCGAAUUUCAGCAAAAACCUAUCAAAGGUCAUCCAUGAAAAUUGUUCAAUAUCGCAUGAUUAUGUUUAUAUCUUUUCAAACUGACAGUAACUCCCUUUCCAAAUAACUUAAACUUGUCAUCCACUUCUUUAGGUGUGGUGCCUAGGGUCUACCAUGGGUCAGAUCGGACUCUUGGUCUGAAUCCAAAACCCCAGUUCGAGGAGAGAAGGGUCAUCUAUGAAGACUUGAAAAACAUCUCAAGAUACGGUCUGCCAAGAGACAAUAUAU
RNAcentral lists this long non-coding RNA (6811 nucleotides) under Phoenix dactylifera (date palm). RNAcentral's name for it is "long non-coding RNA (PDAC_LNC002225)". The record is from RNAcentral. Lineage: Eukaryota; Viridiplantae; Streptophyta; Magnoliopsida; Arecales; Arecaceae.